CUUCCUCAUGUGUUGCCGCCUCACUCUCCUCUCCCUCAUAUCACCAUGAAUGAAACUCCAUUAAAGCUUGUUUCAAGCUUUUAAAUCCCCCAUUAAACCCUAAGUUCUUCCCCAAUCACUCCAUAAAACCUUAUUUCCUUCCCUUGAGAAAGAAAUUUAGCAAGAAAGAAAGAAGAGAAGAGGAGAAAAAUUGAAGAUUUAAAUCUACAAAUUGAGGUAAGUGCAAUUUCAAGUUUAGAUUCUUAUUGAAUUCAUGAAUUUAAGUUUAUGUGUGAUGAAAUUGC
Molecule: unclassified non-coding RNA, 284 nt
Filed under: Hevea brasiliensis (rubber tree)
Lineage: Eukaryota; Viridiplantae; Streptophyta; Magnoliopsida; Malpighiales; Euphorbiaceae
Source: RNAcentral